GUUCAAAAUUCCCAAAGAUCAAUGUCUUUGCAGACGUUUAUGUUCGACCGGGGCAUGAGUUGGUCGAGUCCCUUCAUGUAACAACCCGCCCCUAAUUUUACGAUUGUAAAAAUGUAAAAGAGUGAAUCGACAAAAAUAACCCUAGAGGCCGAAUUGUUGACUUUCAUUGACCAUCAAUUCGUGACACAUACGAGCUACUAUUUUACCGUAUUCUUGAAGUUCUCGACAGUACGAAUGCUUAGACACAAGCAGAAUCAAAUUAAGAAUUAUGACAAAGAUUAUGGAUGUACAAAGGUGAAAGGUAAUUUAGUAAAUUCACUAUUUUUCGAUGAAUUGUCCCUCAUUAUUUUAUUAAUUUCUGUUGAGAUUUUUUUUAUGUCAACGGGGCCCACGCCCAUUAUCCUGUGUUCCCAUUUCUCCUAAACCACCAUUUAUUUGCUACCACCUCACCCUACUCCUGUUCUUAUCUCUCUUGCUUUCUCAUCCCUCUCGUCCCACCUUUACAACUAUCGACGCCGAGACCAGAGCACCACCUCCAUACCCAUCACCAACUUAGUGCGAACUCAACUCCCCCAAACAUCAUACCAUUUCUCCUCUGUAAACGAACCACCACCAUCGAACCAGGAUGCCGUGUGACCUCCAUGUUUCCCGAUGAGAACCUCAAGAAUUUCAGUGUGGAGUAACAAACCCAUUUUUCCGACGGAGGUCCAGUGUCAGUCGAGUCGUUUUCCGACCAACUAUAGCCACGGUCGAGGAAACCAAAGGUGUAAUUACUAUCGGAGACUUUGACUUUCUUAGUUCGAAAGGAUGUGACAUCGCAAAUAUCUGUUUUAGUGGCUGAGCUUCCAUGUCGACAAGGAUUUCUGGCAAACUGUUGUGUUGGGAAUACUACCGAUGGCGAUGAUGAUGGAGAAGAGGCAGUUGGUUCUUCAGGAAUUGGCCUCCCAACUUUCUCCCGAAACUCCGAUCGAGUAUAUGGAUCCCCUCGAGGAUGCGAGGUUUCAAAUCCUUACAAAUACCUUGGGUUAGACUCUCGAGCGGAGGCUAGGGAUGUAUUGUAGGGGGAUGGGGAAGCAGGAACCUAGAGCCUCUUCAUCCUCCUAGUCGAAGGGCGAGGUGACAGCUUUGACAGAAGAGGUGGCCGGCCUUAAGAGUGAGCUUGCCUCGUAUAAGAGCCAGAUGUCACUGAUCGUAAAGGCCCUUAGUGAGUCCGGCAUUCGUCUCCCAGAUAUUCGUAUCCCAUCGAUGUCCAAGUCCCUCCAACCCGAGCAUGCCUAGAACUCCGCCCCUUUGACCUUUGAACCCGUCCUUAUCCCCGAGGUCUUCUUGUCCCAAUAUUUCCAGCCGCCUGCGAACGACGACCCCCUUAGAUUAUUCCACCUUCUUUUCUUAGCUUUUAACUCCCUUACUUUUUAAACUUUUUCCUUGUACAUACAUUUCCUUUUUAUUUUCAAUAAAUUAUUUUUCUCUU
Malus domestica (apple) is the source of this 1471-nucleotide non-coding RNA. The record is from RefSeq and is a predicted model, not a curated record. Lineage: Eukaryota; Viridiplantae; Streptophyta; Magnoliopsida; Rosales; Rosaceae.